GUACACGCUGUGACUAGCAUAUCAAUAAGCGGAGGAAAAGAAACUAACAAGGAUUCCCUCAGUAACGGCGAGUGAAGCGGGAAGAGCUCAAAUUUGAAAUCUUGAAAGGUCACCUUUCACGAAUUGUAGUUUAAAGAAGUGUUUUCUGUUACGAUCGUAAUAUAAGUUCUUUGGAAUAGGACAUCACAGGAGGGUGAGAAUCCCGUCUAUGAUUGCGAUUUGUAGCUUUGUGAUACACUUUCAAAGAGUCGGAUUGUUUGGGAAUGCAGUCCCAAAACGGGAGGUAAAUUUCAUUCUAAGGCUAAAUAUUGGCGAGAGACCGAUAGCGAACAAGUACCGUGAGGGAAAGAUGAAAAGAACUUUGAAAAGAGAGUUAAACAGUACGUGAAAUUGUCAAAAGGGAAGCGUUUGACACCAGUGUUGUUUUCUCGAAAAUCAAUUAAAAAUGGCUCGAUUUCGUAUUGCUUGAGACCUUAAAAGCUCACUGUACAUUUUUCGUGUCUUUUUUAAUGCACUUUUCGUUUAACAAGUCAACAUCAGUUUCUUUUGUUGUAAAAGGGUCAUUGGAAGGUGGCUUUCUUUUCGGAGAAAGUGUUUAUAGCCUUUGGCCUCUGCAAUCGGAGAGACUGAGGUCUGCAGCGUAGACUCUUCGGGGUUAGAUACAUUUGUGCUAAGUUAUAGCUUUUUAUAGACAACUUGUUGACUAUAAUUAGUCUUGUAGCUUACUCGCUUAUGCUAUUUUACCUACGCUUAGGAUGUUGAGUAGCGACAUACGCAC
RNAcentral lists this ribosomal RNA (778 nucleotides) under uncultured Neocallimastigales. RNAcentral's name for it is "partial large subunit ribosomal RNA". It matches the Rfam family "Eukaryotic large subunit ribosomal RNA", at positions 22 to 649 of the family's 3401-position model. Lineage: Eukaryota; Fungi; Neocallimastigomycota; Neocallimastigomycetes; Neocallimastigales. The record is from RNAcentral.